Piliocolobus tephrosceles (Ugandan red Colobus) is the source of this 2320-nucleotide long non-coding RNA. The record is from Ensembl. Lineage: Eukaryota; Metazoa; Chordata; Mammalia; Primates; Cercopithecidae.
AAGCAUGAUAUAUAUCAACUAAAAAAAUAUUACUGUCCUUUUAUUAUUUUAAACAAUCAUAAUAAACAAAGAUUCAUGCACGCUUACGGUAAAAUUUACAAAUCGAUUUUUUUAGAAAUAAAUAACAAUAAUAAUAAUAGCAAUAAUAAUAAUAAUAGCAAUAAUAAUAAUAGCAAUAAUAAUAAUAGCAAUAAUAAUAAUAGCAAUAAUAAUAAUAACAAUAAUAAUAAAAACUACAAUAAUAACACGCAUGACCAAUAUAGCAAACUUCAAAAAUACAAAGUACGGAUAGCUAUAAAGAAAAGACUAAAACAAUAUGAUAUAGGUUUAUUUGCUGGGACCUUUGAUAAAAUACACUAUGGUCAUAUUUUACUUUUCUUUUAUUCCAUCAUGUUAACUAAAAAAUUCUAUUAUAUUGGUUUAUAUAACAAUAAAAAUAUUUAUAAUAAAAAAUAUUCACAAUUUAUCGAUGACAUAGAAGUAAGAAUUUUUCGUUUAACCCAUGUUUUAUUUUUAAUAAAAAAUGUUUACCACAUAGAAUUUUAUUUUCAUAAUUUUCAGCAUGUACUUCCAUAUAUUAAGAUAAAAAAUGCGCAUAAUAUAUUAUAUCAAAUUAUAACAAAUCGAACAAAUGCACAACCUAUAGAAUACGAAAAGAAAAAAUAUCAAAAGUAUGACAAUCUGUAUUACUACGACGACGAAAGUGAUAGUAAUAAAAACACGACGUGUUAUAAUAGCAUUGUGUGUCGUAAACGUAGUCAUAGUAACAGUUGUUGCAAGUACAAAAAGCAUUUUUCUCGUGGGGACUUAAAAUAUGACAUAUUAAAAAAAAAAUAUGUUAACUUAAUCCUAUUAAACAUUGACAAGUGUGUUAAAGAAAGUGCAUCCUGUUCUUCAUUCACAAAAAACAUCAAAAAAAAUAUAAAAAAAUAUUUACACUUUUAUAUUAUCGACAAAAAAAACAAUUAUAAAUGUGAUAAAAAAAUAAUAGUUUUAAACCGAAUACAUGACCCUUUUUCAUUUUCUUUAGACAUUAAAGAUUUGUAUGCAUUAACUAUGUCUAAAGAGUCUGAAGCAAAUGGAAGAAUUGUAGUUCAAAAAAGGAAUACCAUAUUUAACAAAGAAAAGUAUGAAGAUUUGAGUUUAAAAAAAAUCAAAAAUGAAAACCUCUUUUCACAUAAUAAAGAUGAAAACUCUAUCAAUAGUUGUUAUACUAAUAAUAACAACAAAACAAACGAAAAUACUAGCUAUAACAUAAUAAACAACCCGAAUAACAAAGUAAGAACAAUAUUAAAUAUUUUUGAUACUCUUGACAUAUGUGAAGGAGAAAAAAUUAGUGCUACUAUAAUAAGGAAACAAAGUUUUUGUUUAAAGAAAAAUAAAUUUACCAAAUUGUUAACAUAUUUUAUAGAUGCUUGUUUAUUUUUUAAUAUAGAACAUGUUCUUAUACAAAUUUAUAUGGAAAUUUUUCAGCAUAAAACUUAUAAUGUAUUUUACAGCGAACUUUAUAUUAAUAAAGUCAAAAGUUACUUUUGCCGUGCAAAAAAGAGGGUAAAUAACGGUAUGAGGCGCCAAAAAAAAAGGGACACACAAAAAAACGUGUCAAGUGAUGGUAACCUAAAUAACGUACAAAGUGAUGGUAACCUAAAUAACGUACAAAGUGAUGGCUGCCAAAAAAAUGUGCCAAGUAAUGGCUUCCAAAAAAACGUACCAAAAGCCCAAACAAAAAAAAACAAAAAAGAUAAUUACAUUGUUAAUGACUUUUUCAGAAACCUAUUUAUUUUGUUUUCAUUUUUUGCAAACCACUUUGUUAAUGAGAAGAAGUAUAUGUAUAACAAUGUUCAAUUAUUUACACAAAUUUCGAUUUUUUUAUCUUUCUUUUUUUACAAUAAUAUUAUAGCGUUAAUAAUAAAAAAAAAAGAACAACAUGUAAAUCAAAAUUUUGAAACGAACAAUACAAUUAUAGAAAAGAAAAUAAAAGAUAUGUUUGAUACAGACGAAAACAGCAACUUACGCAUUUUCAUAAAAAAUGUAGAACCAAUUAUGCUACAAGAAAUUUUAAAUCAAGUGUUUCUUUACAUUCUUUUAAUUUUAUCAACUUCUACAUUUUGUAAAAUGUUUUAUGAUAAAAGCAUACUUAAAAACGCCAAAAAAAAAAAAAAAAAAAGUAUUCAAGAAAAGUACGACUACUACUACUACCUGACCAUAUGCAAAAUAAUACACACAAAAACUCAGCAAAUAGGUUGAACAGUUAUUAUACACUAUUAUCGACACCCCCCCAAAAAAAAAUAAAAAACGAUUGUUCAAAUUGUUUCGAUCA